GAAGGUGUAGCUCAGUGGUAGAGUAUGUAGCUCAGUGGUACCCAGCAUGCACGAGGUCCUGGGUUCAAUCCUCAGUACCUCCA
Molecule: transfer RNA, 83 nt
Filed under: Camelus bactrianus (Bactrian camel)
Lineage: Eukaryota; Metazoa; Chordata; Mammalia; Artiodactyla; Camelidae
Also listed under: 2 other names
Rfam family: tRNA
About the family: Transfer RNA (tRNA) molecules are approximately 80 nucleotides in length. Their secondary structure includes four short double-helical elements and three loops (D, anti-codon, and T loops).
Source: Rfam by way of RNAcentral